CCUACGGGUGGCAGCAGUGGGGAAUAUUGGGCAAUGGGCGCAAGCCUGACCCAGCAACGCCGCGUGAAGGAAGAAGGCCCUCGGGGUGUAAACUUCCUUUAAUAGGGACGAAGAAAGUGACGGUACCUGUUGAAUAAGCAACGGCUAACUACGUGCAAGCAGCAGCGGUAAUACGUCGGUUGCAAGCGUAAUCCGGAUUUACUGGGUGUAAAGGGCGUGUAGGCGGGAGAGCAAGUCAGACGUGAAAUUGCAGGGUUCAACCCUGGAAUUGCGUUUGAAACUGUUCUUCUUGAGUGAUGGAGAGGCAGGCGGAAUUCCGGGUGUAGCGGUGAAAUGCGUAGAUAUACGGAGGAACACCAGUGGCGAAGGCGGCCUGCUGGACAUUAACUGACGCUGAGGCGCGAAAGCGUGGGGAGCAAACAGGAUUAGAUACCCGGGUAGUC
RNAcentral lists this ribosomal RNA (443 nucleotides) under uncultured bacterium. Its description in RNAcentral is "partial 16S ribosomal RNA". It matches the Rfam family "Bacterial small subunit ribosomal RNA", at positions 338 to 795 of the family's 1533-position model. The record is from RNAcentral.